CGUUGGUGAACCAGCGGAGGGAUCAUUAGCGAGUUAAUUACAAACUCCAAACCCAUGUGAACAUACCUACUGUUGCCUCGGCAGGCCGUGCUGCGCGGCUGGAUCGCCCACCCCCCGCGUGGGUAGCUACCCUGGAGUAGCUACCCUGUAGCGGGAGCGGCCCGCCCCGCGGCGCGCCAAACAGGCCUGCCGAAGGACCCCUAAACUCUGUUUUGCACCUGUAUCUCUGAGUUUAUUAUACAAAUAAGUUAAAACUUUCAACAACGGAUCUCUUGGUUCUGGCAUCGAUGAAGAACGCAGCGAAAUGCGAUAAGUAAUGUGAAUUGCAGAAUUCAGUGAAUCAUCGAAUCUUUGAACGCACAUUGCGCCUAAUAGUAUUCUGUUAGGCAUGCCUGUUCGAGCGUCAUUUCAACCCCCAAGCCCUAUUUGCUUGACGUUGGGAGUUUACGGAGACGUAAUUCCUCAAAUAUAGUGGCGGAGCUAGGUCGUGCUCUAAGCGUAGUAACCAAAUUCUCGCUUCUGAAGCCGGCCCGGGUCCUGCCGUAAAACCCCCUAUA
This 557-nucleotide ribosomal RNA is filed under the name Sordariomycetes sp. RNAcentral describes it as "eukaryotic LSU rRNA". The stretch from base 253 to 406 matches the Rfam family "5.8S ribosomal RNA". Lineage: Eukaryota; Fungi; Ascomycota; Sordariomycetes. The record is from RNAcentral.